UACUACUGAUUUCCAAUCAUUAAGUUCUGGGCAGUACCAGAGAAAAACA
RNAcentral lists this transfer RNA (49 nucleotides) under Thylacinus cynocephalus (Tasmanian wolf). RNAcentral's name for it is "partial tRNA-Gly". Lineage: Eukaryota; Metazoa; Chordata; Mammalia; Dasyuromorphia; Thylacinidae. The record is from RNAcentral.